This 3048-nucleotide long non-coding RNA is filed under the name Elaeis guineensis (African oil palm). RNAcentral's name for it is "long non-coding RNA (EGUI_LNC006704)". The record is from RNAcentral. Lineage: Eukaryota; Viridiplantae; Streptophyta; Magnoliopsida; Arecales; Arecaceae.
CACGACUUGCCUAACCACCACCCAUGGCCAGUUGAGAAUCCAAUUGUGCUCUACGGCCUCCUUGAACUUGAAGAGAUAGAAUCUUCUUCGAAGCCCAUGCUCCGUGAUCUCUCCUUUCAGCCCUGCACAUAGCCGAAACUCCCGCACAAUAUAGAGGAUAAAUUUUUGAUCAAUUUGCCCUCAUUAUUUCACCAGUUGAUCUAGCUUGCUCUUUCAGCACUAUAUAGAGGAUAAAUUUUUCAGGUGCAUCCUCGUGAUACCAUUAGAUGUAAUGAAUAUUGAAGUAACCCGAUAAUCUCGUAUAGAAAAAUUAUGAACAUGAUAUGCAACUCGUUCAUUUGUCCUCUCAUUAACAUAACCUGUCCUGCAACUAGUGUAUUAUUUUAGAAAAGUUAUAGUGACAUUCUCUUAACUGUUGGAUAUUUUUUAGAGAUAUCCUCUCAAUUUUAAAAAUUUUUAAACUGAUUCUUCAAAAGAUCCUAUUAUUUAUCUCGAUUAAUAGAAUGGCGUCAUAUGAUAAUACAAAAUUAUAUUAUGAUCAAAAAAAUCUUUUGUAUCAAUUAUUUGUAUGAUAAAGUCCUAGCAUAGAUAUAAAAAAACUCUUAGUAUAUGAUCCAUAUUUAAGAAUCACCAAUUACACAUAUCUCAAAGUACUUCGAACAUCUUCAUUGAUCCAUUUUUAUAGAUCUCAAAGCAUCUUAGGUGUAUGACUUAUGGUUAAGAAUUACCCACCGUACAAAUCUCUAAGCACUCCACACCCCUUCAUUCAUGUGCCUGAUUUUACAGCAUCCUUAAUAUAUGUUAUCCAUGGUUAAGGAUCAUCUAAUGUACAUCUCAAAGCAUUCCAAACUUCUUCAUUUAUUAGUUUGUAAAAAUUUUAAAGCACCCUUAAUAUAUGACCUAAAACUCCUUCAUUCAUCGGCCUAUAAAAAUUUCAAAACACCCUUAAUAUAUGAUCUAUAGUUAAGUAUCAUCAAAUUGUAUAGUUUUUAACUCUUUCGUUCAUCCAUCUAUGCAAAUCCUAAAACAUCCUUGGUAUAUGCUCUAUAGUUAAGGAUACCAACUAUACAACUAGAUAGACCCUUUUGUACAUCCAAAAUCAAUUCUAAUAAUUAUCCUCCAAAAAGCAAUACAUGCACCAAAAAGAGGGAGAGAAUAGGGAGAUCGGAUAUGAAGCAUUUGUUGUGAACUAAAUUUUUAGAAAUAGCUAUUUACCCUUCUAAAGAGCAAAUAAAAACAAAUACUUCCCAAUAAAUUGUAUCCAUCAUGUGUGUAAAUAAAAUCAUCGGUGUGCUACACACGAUCUCAAUAACAAAGUUGCCCAAAGAAAAUAAAAAGUCCUCUCAAAUCAUUAUUAAUUCCUUAAUGUUAGUUUAGGCUAAUCUAAGUUGACUGUCAGUAGUUAAACCAUUAAAAUGAAAUCAAUAGGUAUAUGUAUGAUCGAUGAGAUUAAAUAUCAAGAUAUACAUUUUGAACAUUCUUUUUUGUAGCAUGUCUGAUGAUUUUUAUAUUAUGUUUAUAAAAAAUUUCUCCUGAUUUCAAUAUUUGCAAAUGAUUCUAUAUUUUCUAUAUAUUCUCAAUUAUUUUUGGAUAAUGGCUUUAUCUUUAUUAAAAUAAAAAAAUUAUAAAUGAAGAAUAAAUUUUAUUUAUAUCUAAUAAUUUAAAAAAUCUAUACUUAUCAUCUAUCUUUAUCUAACACUUCAACUGAUGAUUGAACAGGACGUUAGUCAAACUGUUCACCUUAAUGAGACUCAAAUGUCAAAUUAGAAAAAUUUAAAGCAAAAUAACAGUAGAUGAUAUUAUAAUCAUUCAAGGAUACCGCAAAAAAAUAUAUAUGUAUUCUCCUCGCCAUUCAAGGAUAAUUUUAAGUUUUAACAUAAGAUAAGCAAUUCCACUCUAAUAUUGUUAGUUUGACUAAAUAUGAGUGUAGUAAAAAUUAGUGAAUGUAAGUAUAAUAAAUAAAAAAACUCAAAUUUUGUCAUUAAAAUAACAUUAUUAUAACAAUCACGGAGGCCCAUAUUUUGACCAUUCCAUCGUUUCCUUGGAUAGAUAAAACUACAUCUCAACAUAGCAAUUGUAACUCCCAUGUGCCCGUUCUCCGUCCCUUUUUUUGACCCAUCAACGGCUGAAACGACCUGAAGCAUAAAUCACGUUCCAGCCUGAAAGACUCCACUGCUUUUAAUCAGCCUGCCUGCCUUGCGUUUUGGAAAUGAUCACUGCGUUCCAUGGCGGCUCUCUCACCUAUAAAACCCCAAGCUCUCCUGCUCUCCUUCUCGCCCUACCAAAUCGCUCACAGAAACGAAGAGAGAAAGAAAAGAGAUAAGAAGAAGACGAAGACGCGAUGAAGCCGUCGGUGGUGCUGUACCCGUCGCCAGGGAUGGGCCACCUUGUGUCCAUGGUGGAGCUGGGGAAGCUCUUCCUCUCCCACGGCCUCGCCGUCGCCAUCGUCACCGUCGACCCCCCCUACAACACCGGCGCCACCGCCGCCUUCAUCGCCCGCUCCUCCACCGCCCUCCCGGCCAUCUCCUUCCACCGUCUCCCCCGGGUCUCCCUCCCCCACAACCCGUCCCCUCACUUCGAGGCCCAUGCCUUCGACCUCCUCAGCCUCUCCAACCCCCACCUCCUCUCCUUCCUCCAGACGCUGUCCCUAUCCUCCCCCAUCCGCGCCUUGGUCCUCGACUUCUUCUGCACCGAGGCCCUCGACGUCGCCGCCGCCGUCGGCGUCCCCGCCUACUUCUUCUUCUCCACCAGCGCCUCCAACCUCACCGCCUUCCUCCACCUCCCGAUCCUCCAUCAUAAAGUCACCCAGAGUUUCAAGGACCUCGGCCACACCCCCCUCGACUUCCCGGGUCUCCCGCCGAUCCCGGCGUCGGGCAUGCCGCUCCCCAUGCUCGACCGCGACGACGACGCCUACAAGGGAUUCGUCUACCACUUCGACCGCGUGCCCCGCGCCGCCGGGAUCAUCGAGAACUCCUUCGAGUGGCUCGAGCCUCGGGCCCUCUCCGCCCUCCGCUCCGGCCUCUGCGUCCCCGGCCGGCGGAUGCCGCC